GUCCAGUGCCAGACAGCUUCCCAUACAGCAAAUUUCCCAUCAAGCACUGAAAGCAUGUUUUUUCUACAUCUGGAAACUGUCCUGCUCCUCACUGGUGUUUGAGUGUUGUUCUGAUAUCCUGCUGAAAAGCCUCCAACCAAAAUCAGCCAACACAAAUUAAUAAAUUACCACCAGUCAGCAGGGGCAGAGUAACUGGACGGUGUGUGUUCUUGUCCUGAUGCACCCUACACCUCAACUGAUUAGCUGUAACUCCAUAAUUAAUGUCGAGUGUCCACCUGUGUCUGCUCUCCUCACUGGUACUGCAUUCCCCAUCUCAGAGCCAAAGAAACUCAAGAGGUCCUCCAAUGAGCAAACACAUUACAUAAGCAUGAGGUGAGACUGGAGACUCUGAGAGGUAGGGAUGUUGAAAGAGCACUGAUUUAUGAGAACUGGAGCAAAGUGGUAACUGAAGCAAUAGCUCCUUUUCCAUGAUGCUGCCCUGUGUUUUGUAACCUACCUCAUGGCCACUGGAUGAUUAGGACCUUUCCUGAGUGCACGAUUUCCCUUACCCUCAGUGUUUAUGAUGGCUGGUUUCAAUUAUUCCUUUCCUUCACACUCUGUAUUUCAACCUGCCUCAGAUGAGCAAUUCAUCUACUCUAUCAAAUAACUUACCAAGAUAGAUUUCACAUGCAAGGCAAAUACAUUUUCCUUCCCCUCAUAAUUCCACAACACUGUUUUUUAGAAUUCUGUUUCUCUUGCCUGAUUCCCAGCAAACCCUUACCCAGAGUAGAGCUUUCUAAUGUGCAGAUUGGAUAUAAAAUGCCAUCAGAUAACAGUGACAUUUCCACCUACUCUGUCCUGACCCUUGUGCCACAACUUUUCCCCCAUGUUACCUGAGCUGAUAUAAAGAGUGAGGUCAGAAAACGUUGCACAGGGCUGAAACAAGACCCCACCAUGGAUUGUCAUGUCCAUGUACAUGACUGAAGUAACUGGUGCCUAUGCAGAUUUGUAUGUAGUGGUGUUCUACGUAUGCAUGUGCACAGCAUGCAUGGCCAUGACGAAUGGUGCCAUGAUGCAUGUGAAAAAGCCCAUUUUUUACACAUGUAUUCAUGCUUUGUGAACUUCUGAUAUCAAUUCAUUUAAGAAUGGAGAGAAAAUUAAGAGAUUUGGUGCAUGUAGUUGCUCAUUCUUAAUACUCUUCUGAUCUUAGCAUAGAUGGGACCUGCACAGAUGAGUGAUGAGCGCUUGGAGGGUGAUUCCGUGGUAGAAGCAUCGUGUGGGUCCCAAGUUGGGUAUGGACACUGCUAUGGCACCCAAGUGAACGGAGCCCUGUGUCAGCAAAAAGCGUGAUGAAUAUCCAGGUGAGCUCAACAAGCACUCAGCAGAAUUCAUCUGCAGCUCAUUGAGGCAACACAGAGAGAGUUCAUGGGGAGUUUAUCAUGGGAACUGCUGAGGGUUAAUGGCCAGCAGAACAGAUUGAGCUGUGGGAUUACUAAAUAAUGAACUUUUCUCUCCAAUAAAUUUGUCCCUGACUUAUAAAAAAUCAAUAACAUACUACAUUUCGGGCUUUUUUUUUCCUUUUCCUUUUGGUGACGGUGGGGAAUGUGGGCUCAGAGUAAUUUUUAAACUACUCUUUCAUAUAUAUGUAUAAAUAUAUUUUACUCUGAUCAUUUAUACAAAAGCUCAGAUGUGCCACAUUUACUGCAGCUUCAUCACCUAGAUAGAUUUUUAUGUGGGUGCCCGGCUAUUGCUUUGUUUAAUCAUUCUUUUCUCUUCCCUCCCCAGUCCCUUGCCUCCCCCUUCCCUUCCAUGCUUUUUAUGACACUAUCGCCAGCGCAGAUAUGCAGGAGGGUUUUCAUGUGAUAUAGGAUGUCGGAGAGGUCAGGUCAGCUGGGACAGAGCCAAAAAUAUUAGCACUUUCUAACUGCUGAGGAGAGAAAUUGAAAUAAUAGCACUUAUAAAUUGGCAGGUUUUCAACUGCAGGAGAAGAGAGGGAUUUUUUGCGUGUGUUUAUUUUGUUUCAGAAGUGGAGAGGAGGCGGAUCCGGUUCUUGGCCACAGAAGAGAUGUUCACUGUGCUUUGGGCUCGUGUUUGUGUUAAAUUUGGCCAGGAAGUGGUUGGUGGGCUGGUAUCUGUUCUCAGACACGCAUUUCCUGUUUUUAACCCAAUCUUUCUUCCCUCCAUCUCUGUAUGGAAAUAGAAUUAUAGAAUCAUUAAUGUUCGAAGAGACCAUUAGGAUCAUCAAGCCCAACCACAGGUCCCUCAGAUGACUGCAUAUAGCAAGUCUCCCCAAAAUACAGGAGGGACACCCAGUCCAGCUUUUCAGGGAUCUCCUGGGCUCUCUGCUUCAACAGUGAAUCACCAAGCCUUGGUGAAACCAUGGCUCUUUCAGUCACACCGUCACUGUUAGACAGCAUCAGCAAUGGAAAUCACCUCCUCUCACCAAAGCCCAAAGUGCUUUGCAGGAUCUGCCUUCCAAAACCUGCUCUCAUCUGGUCUCCGAUGCUUCACCUCAACCCAGGCACAGCUGUUACGUGUGCCAACCUGGGGAAAUCAGAAGCCAUGCAGCAAUAACUGUUAAUUGACCGAGAGCCACCUCUGCGAUGCCAACAGGAACAAAAGAACAAGCAUCUGGCUUUGCCAUCUGUGCCUGUUUAAAUGCAGCAAAAAGAAACCCUUCUCCAGAUCUCCCAGCUGGGUGGAGAGGUAACUGGAUUCAGCAGCAACGUGGAGUUGCAGGUUGGCUGGGUCUGUGGCUCCUAGUCACUCUGACAUGUGAAACCCUUUGCACGAGACAUGUUGACCUUCCCAGCCCUGGCUUUGUAGAUGAGAGCAAUGAUGGGCUCUGAUGGACGCAACUGAGCAGCCUGGAGUUAUUUCUAGUCAUGGUUGCAGUUCACUGUGAAUAAAAGUCCAGGUGUUCAGAAAUCACUCAGUGCUCAAAGUACUUGCAAGAGCUUUGAUGCACCCUUUACCUCUUUCCAUCUCACUAGGCAUGGCUAGGAGAGCUCUUCAAUGGAUCACAUGUCCUGGAAAAGGACACCUGUCUUGUGCCCCACACAUCCCAGAGGUCAUAAGGAAGGGAUCACUGGUGUUCAGACAACCUCCUCCACCAAAGUCUGCAAAACAAAUUAAAAGCAUAUCAAAUCUUCUGUUUUCCAAGGAGCUUCACAUGAUAAAAGCUGAGUCAGAGGUCUCUGGUGUGCUGGGAUCCUGAAACUUCUAGGAAGGUCAGUGUCAAAAUGCAGUACUUUCCCUUCUAGUCAGAGCACCGUUAAGCUAAAUUAUGGAAUCAUAGAAUCAUGGAAUCAGAAAAUCCUGACUUGUAAGGGACCCAUAAGGAUCAUCGAAUCCAACUCCUGGCUCCAAACUGACCUUUCCAAUGAGAAAAGGAUAGGAUUCAGCAGCUCACUUUUGAAAGACAGUUUAGUCCAAGCUACCUGAUAUUUGCAGUAGAGGAGCCAGUCCUACUGAGAAAACCAAACAAGACCAGAGCUAUGGUCUGACACCAAGUAUAAGGUUUCUCCCUAGCAAGGCUUCAUCCAGCCAGCACUUGAGGUAGCAUACAGCCUCAGCAAGAAUGAGAUCAAAUAAGAGGGUAACACAGGGGCCGUUCCUAAAAGGCAAAAUGGAGAGAGCCAUCCUGAAGGAGGGAGUGAAGAGAAGAGUCUGGCCAGGUGGUCCCAAAGAUGAGAUGAAAAUGCCAGGAACAGCCAACUAUAGAUACAGAAUUAGACAUCCUGUGAGGGAUUAAACAAAGUACGGUUUGCUGGGGAGAAUCCAAAGCCACGAUAGAUUUAUCUAAUGCAUUUCUUGCUCUCUGUAUGGUUCUGGAAGUUCAGAAAUCUUUGGGUUCAAUUAACUCUGCCACAAGCAAGCAGGAAUAAUUUGUAGGGGAUGUAAAGUCUCAAGAAGUUGAAAAGGAAGCACUUAUUUUUUUUACUGUGUGCCGUAUUUGCAAGAGAGUUCCCCAUAAGCAAAGUCUUUGGUAGCCUGAUUCAUAUGGAGAAGACUGGAGGUAUCAACCCUGAGAAAGGACAGAAACAAAAAAUAAUUAUGAGGUUGACUAAUGGUCAGUGAGUAUCAGAGCUUGUCUGUUAUGUCUAUACUGUGUUGGACAUAGGCGAGUAGGCAAGACACACACGUAGUGCAUGCUCUGUCCUGAAGGCUUAGCCAUUAUUAUUUCUCAUUUAUUUGAUUUUCUAUUUACUGUAAAGGUCACUCUACCUGUAUGUAUUGGGUGGUAUUUUGGGGUUUCUUUUGCAUGGGGGGAAAACGUAACUGAGGUCACAUUGGAUAUAAUAUUUCUUAGUGUGUACUCUAUAUUCAUACGCCCAAUGCAUGGUAAAGUAAGGCAGCAUUCUUUAAGAGAUGGAAGAAAAGCUGAUAACAGUUUGUGUUCUCUAUAUAAUUCAGGCACAACUAUCUGUCAACAGAGCAAGGUAAUUAUCCCAAUAAGAUUUCACGAAACGAGGAAAUAUCAUGGAUUUUAUAAACCUUAUUAUCAUUAAGAGUGAAUGCAAAACAACAAAAGGAGCCUUAAAACAAAAUGUUAUGUUGAAAUCAAUACUGAUUCCUUGGGAUAAGUGUUAUGAGGCAGUCAAAUUCUCUAAGAUUUCUCCCCUUACCCCCCCCCCCCCCCCAAAAAAAGAGGCUGCAGACAAACCAAGGGAGAGCAAACAGCUCUAAAGCAGCCUAAUCACUCUGCAAAUUGGGGAACGAGCAAUGCAGUGCUGAUUUUUUUCCAACAUCAGCGCGUUGCUCUAAAAAUGUCCCUCCUCCUUUUGCUCUUGUGCCCCCCCCAGCCAACAAGCCCAAAUAAUAACCCAUUACUGACGGCACCAUAACGGCGCCUUCAGGGAUGGGAUUAGAGUAAGUAUCAAUUUGGAAAUUAGCAGCCUGGUUCAACGAGCAGCGUACCAGCCCUGCAGGCAAAAGGAGAAAUCUGAAAUUUGCACACGUGCUGCCUCACGAAAUGCUGCUUUCAUUACCCCCUUCCCUCUCCCUCCACGCCAUCAUGCAGAUCAGCUGCUCCAUACAGCCUUAUCCGGCACUGCGGCUCAAAGGCAGAGAUGUUUUCCAGAGCAUGCUUGUGUGGGCCUCCAGCUGUCAGCUUUCCUCCAUCCAUCCCAAAAUGAUGCGUCCAUGGGCCACUGAGCAAAUGGGACUCAAUGCUUGUGUUCAGAUUUGUGGCAAGCGUGGGAAUUCUAAGGACACUGCUUAGUCAGCAAUAUUGGUGGCAGGUGGAUGGUUGGAUUGGAUGAUCUUAGAGGGUCUUUUCUAGCCUUAAUAAAUCUAUGAUUCUAUGAAUGGAUUCUGUUUUCCAGAGAGACCUAGACAGAGCAGUGGGUCCAUGAAAACCUCACGCAGUUCAACAAUGCAAGGUCUGCACGUAGGUCAUUGAAACCCCACUACUGAUACAAGCGAGGGGAUGUAAGGAUGGAGCGCAGCCCUGCCAAAAAGGACCUGGGGGUACUGGUGGAUGGCAGAUGGACAUGAGCCACUGCAACAGGUUGCCUAGAGACGUGGUUUUCACCCCAACAUAGAGUACGAAGCAUCAGGCCUUCCACCAGGACAGACAUCCUAUUUGUAAACACUGCUUUAUUGUAUCUUACUCUCCUCCAUAAUGCUUUUCACUCCAGCAUGGAUGAACCUUCAUGGGAGUUUUUCCAGUGUCACCCUUAAUAAUGAUAUCAUUCUCUUUUUACCAAGACACUUUGCUAGACUGGAAGACAACAGUUUCGUAUCAGUCCCUCAAGACAAGCCAGUAAUCAUCCAACAGACCAUCUCAUCUUCACUGACCAUUCCUGUGAUGGGAGUUGCUCACGUCAGAGGAGCAUUAAAGGUGAGAGGGAACCAGUGUGCAAAGACUGAACUAUGCAUCAGACGUUGGGUGCUGGUAUAGAAUCAUAGAAUCACUGAGGUUGGAAAGACCUCUAAGAUCAUCAAGUCCAACCAUCAACCCAAACCCAUCACCACCAUGCAACUAAACCACGCUAUACAUUGUGAUAUCUUCCCCUUUCUUGAUAACUUCCAAGGAUGGUGACACCACCAUCUCCCUGGGCAGCCUGUUUCAAUGCUUCACCAAAGUACAAGAGGUCCCAACUCUGCUGGAGUAGCUGCAGCCCUUCAGUGCCUCAGCCUUAUGCUCCUGAUUGGCCAUGGGUGUAAUUACUGAACACAACAAACCAAAGAGCUCACUUCUCUGAGUUUUAUUCUCACUCUGGUCAGGUUUCCUGUGGCAGCCUGUAGCUGGAGGUGGCCUAUGCAGAAUUAGCUACUCUAAUGUAGUUCCAACCUCUCACUGUGAAUGCGAGCACACAGCUGAAGAAAGGAUUGCCACAAAGGGUUAGGAAGAAAGGAAAAGGAGAUUAAUGCUCAUCCCCUCGAUCUGAUCCUACUCCCUUUGAAACUUUCAGCAAAGCAGAUUAAGGCUGUAAGCUUCACCAGGCAGGGGGUGUUACUCACCACUGCGUUUUGGAAAGUCAAACAACAACCGAACCCUGAUCCUGACCUCCAUGCCUCGCAGAGAUAAAUUAAUAAUUAAAAAUAAUGCUAACGAUAACAUUAAUGAUGAGGUUUGUGCUGCUAAAUGGGGAGUUUUCUCCAGCAGCAGUAUUUUCCUCUGUGACUGGCAGCUCAUUUGCUGCUAUUGAUGCUCUGAAGCAUGAUGAGGAGUAGCUGGGUGAGUAUUUCUCUAACCAAGCACUUUGGGUCAAAUGCAGAGUGAUCUCAUGCAGUAUCUCACAUGGCUGGCCUGAAAUGUCAAGCCCUGCACUUGGAGCGAGGGGCGAGCAGGUCAGGUCAUGUCUGGUUGUAAAAGGAUUGUUUGUGCCACACUCCAUCCAUGGCCUUGUGUUGGGAGGACCCAAACAAUCCUUCCCUUCAUUCUCCAGCAGAAUGGUAUUUUCGGGAAGACAAGGGGCUGGCAUUAACUUCCUUGCAUCUGAUGAUGUUUUUUUUCCUAAUAUGUUUCUUUUGAAACUCACCCUAUUCCAUAGCUGCAAGUCCAGACCCAUAUCUGCACCGAAGGAACAGAAGAAUCCUUAGGUCUUCCCUUUGCCUGUGUCAGUUUUGCAAUUCAGCUCCAUCAGGACAGCCACAUGAGUUUUACUCUGUAAGGAAACUCCUGCACGGUGCAGAUUGCUGGGGCCAUUCAGAUCCACAUGUUGCUUCUGUGCCUAACACAGCCAUGACUCACUCAGAGGGUGGUGACACACUGAACAGGUUGCCCGAGGAAGUUGUGGAUGCCCCAUCCCUGAAGGCAUUCGAGGCCAGGCUGGAUGUGGCUCUGGGCAGCCUGGUCUGGUGGUUGGUGACCCUGCACAUAGCAGGGGGUUGAAACCGGAUGAUCAUUGUGGUCCUUUUCAACCUUCAACUUUUGCAACCUCUAUGCAAGGGAGAGAGGUGGUAAUAGCAUGUAUGAUCACCUCCAAUAGAUGCCAGCAGUUAUUUCUAUCCAUAGAGAAACAAGGAGCCAGAAUUUGCAAAAUAGGUGCUUUGUACUGAUUGUCCCUCUCUUGACCUUCCAUAGCGUGGUACUCACAGCAACGUCUCCAUUAGCAAUAUUCACCCUCAGCUCCCAUUAUAGUCAAUGGCACUUGCAUGACAUGAUCAAUCUCACCAAAAUUAGCCAAACCAAACCACCCCCUGGGAGUGCUGAUUUCUUACUGAUGUCUGCCAGGUGAGCCAGAAUCGACCAGCUCAGGUGGAAGCCAUUGCAGCUUGCAUGUCUCAGGCUGUGGGGAUGAUCCCUACUCCCUACAAGGGUAGACUUCAAAUCCCUGGAAAUAAUAUAAGUACAUGAAACCAAUGGGGGCUGGAACUCACUAUAACAACUUCUCUGAUCUGGAGAGGAAACCAUUGAUUUCCCAGUUUCCUGGUAUGGAGACAUCUCUUCUUCAGUGUUGUCCUGUCAGAGGUCAUCUAAGAUUGGGGAUUUAUAGGGAAAAUUGCAACAUGGUUGACCUUGACUCUACAAUGGAGGAAACAAUAUCGAAUCUCUGUCCUUCUCCUCAUUUUUUAGCCCUAUUCUGAUGUUUUUCUUGAGACAGCAUGCUGUUGAGGGACCUCAUCAUUUUUAAUUUUUCUUUUCCCCUUCAUCAAGCCAACCAUUCUAUUAUAAAAUGGUGGUUCCAUUUCUUAAUCUUCCUAUUUUCUUCUCAGUGUGUGUUUGCUAAUCAAUUUCACAAGCUGCUGCGUGAAGAGUGGGAAGAAGGGCUGCUCUCCUCCUUCUUUUGGACCUUUUCCCAGAAACUAGACCAAGCCAGUUUUCUCUCUGGUAGCCUGUAGCUCAUGUUAGAUCCCCAUGUACAUGGACAGAAGGGGCUACUGAGGUUGGGGCCUUGUAGCUGAGAAGCCACCACCUCUAGUCUCUCCUUUCGUCAUCAUAUAGGAACAGGUUGCCCAGGGAAGCGGUGGAGUUACCUUCCCUGGAGGUUUUCAAGAGGAGAGUAGAUGUUGCAUUGAGUGUCGUGGUUAGUGGGCAUGGUGGGGAUGGGCUGAUGAUUGGCUUAGGCGAUCUUAGUGGUCUUUCCAACCAUAAUGAUUCUAUUAUCCUUAGGAUGGAUGAGGAGACUUCAUCCAGCAAUUUCCAGCGCACCAUGAUGAAUGGCUGGAGGGUAGCAGGUGACGUCUCAGAGAACAUCUCAAAGGAAAGGACAAAGAUUGAAGCAACUGAACUGCUGUAAGGGCAUAGCUUUUGUCUCCAACUCCACAUGAGUUGCGAGAAGCUCAUAAAUAGAUGAGCAACUCGUAUGCAUUGAGCAACUCAUGUGUAUGUCACUGAAGCUGGAAAUGUUCAAGGAACAUUUAGAUGUUGUGUUGAGGGAUGUGGUUUAGUGAGAACUCUUGGUGAUGGGUGGAUGGUUGGACUGGAUGGUCUUGUAGGUCUUUUCCCACCUUGGCAAUUCUAUGAUUCUAUGAUUGCUACAGCUCAGCGCAGUCUGGAAGUGCUGGAACUCCUUUUCAGCUGCUGGAGCUGAGAUCUCUAAAGGUGCUCAGGUGCCUAAAGAUGCUGACAUGCUUACUAGGCUUUGCAGAAGUGCUCAUUUUUUAAAGUCCUUAUAGUUAUCUCUCUUCAGACUCCAAAGUGGCUCCAGAAAGCUGCUCUGGAAAGUCUACAGAUACAUGAACAAUGUUUUAAUCCUCUGACCAGAGAAAAAUCUCUGUCCUUCCAGCCACCUGGUGCACAGCAGUUCAUAUGCACACCGCUGAGGCACACCACCCUGGAAUGAUUCCUUUCCUCUAAGCCCGUCUAGCCAGCAUGUCAUUAUUAUUUUUGAGUGAUCAUGUGUUUUGAGAUCAAAGGACUUAAAAUAAAGCAAUAGCUGUGUUGCAGCCAGCCUCACUGCGUGGUUCUGAAAGUGUAUACGUGUUGUCUGCCUUGUUGGGAAAGCACAGGAAUAAAGAGAGUUCAGAGGAUACAAAUCAGGUUGCUCAGAGAAGCUGUGGAUGCCCCAUCCCUGGAGGUGCCCAAGGCCAUGAUGAGUGUGGCCCUGGGCAACCUGAGCUGGUGGGCAGCAACCAGCCCACAGGAGGGAGGUUGAAACCCUAUGAUCUUUAAGAUCCUUUCAUGGGCUAAAACAUGCCCAGAACACUAAUCCAGAGUUUCCUCACUCCUAAAAGGAGUUGAGGAUGGACCAUAUAUUGUACGAUCAAGGGACCAAACAGCAGAGAAUUCACUCACUGGGCAGUACAGAAGUAACAUACAACUCAGAUCCACAGAAAGACCCACAGGGAGCUGAACACGUCAGAGCAGCUUCUCCCUCAGCACUGCAGGUAGGAUUUCCUGAAAGACUCACCGACUUUCUGCACCUGCUCCCCUUGGCAUCAAUAAGAGGAGGAGGGGAAAGAAGGGAACUGCUAUUGAUUGUGAAAAUGCAAUUCAGCGGAUGCUUCAAGAAAUCAGAAUCUUAGAAUCAGAGAAUAUUCUGAGUUGGAAGAGACCCACAAUGACCAUCAAGUCCAACCCCUGACUCCACACAGCAGCACCUAAACCCUAUGUCUGAGAGUGAUGUCCCUGUGCCCAUUGCCUUGGGCAGCCUGCUCCUCUGGUGGGGGCCUAUCCCUCCAAUUAAUCCUCCUUCCUCCAUUCUCUGCUUCAAGGAAGUGUCCAGCCAAACCUUCGUGAUUCACGCUAUAAAGAGAUCAAAUCAUGUCAGUACUUCUAUGUUUUGCUGCUGAAAAGGAAGAUUAUCUUUCCUGCCUCUGACAAAAGACCACUAAAAGCAAUUUGCAGACAAUACCCUAGUUAAGAACAAUAAGCCAAGCGUAUGUCAUUAGUAACCAGACAAGUUCAAAGGCAUUUGUACUCCUGCCUGGGUACUCCAGUCACUCUGCUCUGUACUGUGAAAAGCACUACAUGUACUUCCUGAGAGCUCUUCUCCAUCAAACUACCAAUAGAAUGAACCUUUUGUGCAUUUUUGUAUAACAAGAAAUGGGCUUGCAAUUUUUCUUCACGGGUUUAAGUAUUGGGGAGUUUUCUUCCCUGGGAUAAAGUGGUGACAUGCUUGGCCACCCAAUACUCACCAAACAAUGGGGAUAAAUAAAAUAUAUUCAAGAAAGGGGUAUUUAUUAUUAUUAUUAUUACUAUUAUAGCUAUCCAACCAAUCUAAGGAAAAAUAUUUCACAGUAAGGGUGGUGAGGCACUGGUACAGGUUGCCCAGAGAGGUGGUGGGUGCCCCAUUCUUGGAGACAUCCAAGGUCAGGCUGGAGGGGCUCUGAGCACUGAUGGAGCUGUGGGUGUCCCUGUUCAUUGCAGGCAGUGGGGCCAGAUGGUCUUUAAGGGUCCCUUCCAACUCAAACCAAUCUGUGAUAUGCCAUGAAUCCAACCACUGAGUGAAAACAGUACUUUGUGAGAGAAGUGCCAAACAAUGCCAAACAGAUACUGGAGGAUGGUAGCCCUCCUGCUUGCAGCAGUGCUCUGAUGGCUCAGCAGAUGCCAAGCAGCUGGUGCUGCCUACUGGCCUGUGCAAGGGUUCAUGCAUAUCAGUUGUCCCCAUUCAUAUAUGUUUAUGACAGAUGCCCAUCCACUGGACCCUACCAGUCCAAGACAGUGACACUCAAUAACUGCAUCUCUGUCUCUAGGUUUCCAAACAGACAAAAAGCUUUACACAGGCAAGUGGAACGAAACCUUAGGCUUCUCAGAAGCACACUUAUGGACUGUGAAGAAAAUUUUGGCGAUGAGUUUUUCACCCGUGGGACAACAUCCUAUGCAUCAUAGCAAGAAUACAUCGGGGAAAGUGCACACCUGGAAGAGCUCACAGUCUGAAGGGAUUGGAUAGAAACCUCACAUCUGAUGUUGUGCCUGGUUUUUAAAGCAGUUUUGAACACUGGGUAUCAAAAUAUGUUCCCUGCUCUGAAGUUUAAGCAACCUGCUCCUCACGCUUCAAUAGCAAGCUGCACUCAAGAGGACAUUUGCUGCCCACUCCUAUGGAUGACAAAACACAAUUUAUGGGAUGUGUUGUACAGAAAGGAGGCAGCCUUUGCCUCAAGGUGUAGGUAGCAGAUUGACCAAAGCUAGAGGUCAAUAGGCCAAUAUUUGACCAGGCAUGGCUCCUCCUUGCAUCCCGUUUGGGAGCCUUUCUGCAAGCAGAGAGCAGAGAUUGAGAAAUCAGCAAGAUUGGUCACCCUUCCCUUCAUUGCUUAAAUUAUUUACUUUACCGUUUUCUCUUCUCCUGGCAGCUGAUUUGUCAAAGCAAGUGAAGCAGCUAGAAAGAGAGUUGUGGCUGCAGCAGGAAUAUUACAGCAAUUAGAAAGGGCCAUAAACAGUUCUCUACAUAUGAAACUGCUCAUUGAAUUUGACAAGCAGCCUUUUCUUCUUCUCCCCGCCACCAAAUACAAUGCAGCCUCUUUCCCUUUCAUAAAUGCCAGCACUUUUUCUUUCGGUUCCCACCAAGGGUCCCUCACACUCAACACUCAGAUCAAUACAUUUGCGGACUGAAAGGGACCUUUCUCCUCAACACUCAGCCUCUCGCGGACAGAAUUAAGGCUGAUUGAGUAUGUCACAGUCCGACUGCAAUUUAGAGAGGCAUCGUGCAACCGUGCUGUCCUGGCACCGGUCCAGCUGUCAGAUUUAAUAGAAAAGUAGAGCAGCUUCAUCUGCCCCAAACGGCACGCUGCUCUCUGCAGCCACUGAUUUAGGCUUCCUACACGUUACGGUCUGUCACUUGGAAGUGAUGGAUGAGGUACCAGUGGAUGUCUCUUGCUCACUCCCGGUAGCGAUAAGCAAGUAGCAGGUACGUCAGGAGAAGAGCUGAAGGGAUUAUCUUGGGCUUAUUUUGUGUUUGCCAAUACUGAAGGCGGAGAACAUGCUGCCAGAGCAGGAUGUUAUAAAUUAUAUUGUGCUAUAGCAGGUAGGGCUGAAACAUGGUGGCAAUGGGUUGAUGGUUGGACUUGGUGAUCUUAGUGGUCUUUUCCAACCUUAAUGAUUGUGUGAACCUGUUGAGGCUUCUCCAACCUCCAUAAUCAUGGGGGGAGACCUCUACAGAGCUCCCUUCCACUUACAUAGUGUCUAAGGGUUGAACUCUUGCCAUAUGUUAGAAAUUAGGACCAAAGGAGGUCUUGUUGACCUCCUGUCCUGCCAUGAGAUAGAAUUGCCUGUGCUACUUUGCACAACACUGGGUCAUUCAGGUUAAUAUUUCCCCUGGAGAGAAGCAGCAUGAGUCAGAGUACCCACUUGGAAAGGAGAGAUUGGGGUGAUUUGGAGUGGAAUGAUGGAGGGCCUUAUGACAAACUGCUCUGUAAUUACGUUGGCAAAGAUCUUCUGCCAACAAGGAGCAGAGCAGCACCUAGGUGGAUACAGGUGGCUUUGCAUUUCCUGGGUACCUCAAUUUGCUUUGUUUCUGCUCCAGAAGGAUGCUGAUUAACUGUGGGUGGUUCAGGGAAGAGCCGCCUGAACAGCUGAAGGUUUGGGGAUGGGGAUGACAGGAGCAGGGGGAGGCAGAUGAUGCCUGGUGUUACUGAGAAAAGGUUAAGGGGUAAUUUAUCAUUGUCUGUAAGUACCUGCUUGGGAGCAGUAAUUUGAGAUGAGAGCUCUUGAGUCUGUAUCACAAAAGGAUAACUGGAACUGUUGGCUGUGUGUUGGUGUGAGGUGCAUUUUCUGAGACACAGGCACAGCAAAAGGAGUGGGUGGGGGAAAGGCAUCACAGCUGUCAACAGGUGCUCCAGCCCUCCACCUCCAAUGGUUGCAGUCCCCUCUUUCCUUAACUCGGGAAUCCUGCACCUAUUUGCAAAUGACAAGGCUGAUGCAAGCAGAGUAGAAUAGGGUAUUUACCUCCUUCUGCCUAAAAAUCCCAACGUUGCCUUUGCCUUGCAAGAUGGAACAGAACCACUUACAAUCCCAGAUUUUCUACAGCCUGUUAAUCCCAAGAGAUGCAGACAUGUCAGACUUCUUGGCUUCAGGGAUUUCAACCCAAAGGAUAAUUAUGAAAAAACUCCCAAAUUGAUAUGCUUGAUCUUAAGAUUGUUACCACAGCCCCAAUAAUUUUGUUGGAAGUCCCAACCCCACUGAUUAAAUCACGUUCUUAAGCUGCAAUUCUCCACCUAUCUACAGUCAUUCUGUAUUUUGACACAGCAACCCCAGUGAUUUCCUACAACCAUAUCUCCCAUAACAUGCCUGGUUAUUAAUUCUCAGGAUGCAUCACACAGCUUCAGCAGUGAAAAGAUGCCCUCUGCAUUAUGGAAGAUAAAGUUCUUCAGGAAACUCAGCUCAGAAUGCAGCUUGGAGCUGGGAGGUCCCAGUUUGCAGUGUCCACAUGAGAAAAGACUGCCACUUAAUUCUGAAAUCACAAUGUAUUCAAAGUCAUUACGUGCUAUCAAAAAUAUAAGGGAUUACCAGAUGCAAAAUGAGGCAUUUAAUUCUCAUGUCAUCUAAAUCAGAAAUUUUCCCCCAUCACAUUUAAAUGGUGUGAUGAAGCCCUUAUGGGAAACCUGUUUGGCUGAAAAGUCCAUGGCCAGUUUCACAGAUCAACUACUCAGUACAAACCAUGGUGACUUUUCCUCAGCUGGAUGCCAUUAAACAGAGAUCAGUUCCAUUUGCUUUGUUGAAAGAAAGAAAAAAAAAAUAGAGAAAAAUAAAAGCUCUUUUUAGCUCCAACUCUGUGUCUAGCUUUGAGGAGCCUUGUCUUCAGAUAGUUGGAUAGACCAUGGCUGUCUAUGACAAGGACAGGACAGGAGCUUGCACCAGGAGGAGGCUGUGCUGCCACAGCAUUCAGCUCUGCAAGCCCAAACGUUGUGGCUGCCAACGUUCAGGUGAACAAUGCAAUUUACAUCCAAACACUGCUCCUGGGCAGCAGAAUGCAACCAGUCAACCAGAGCAAGGGCUGAUUAUGGGAAACAUCUGGGGUGAAAUGGGAAUUCCCCAUUCUCUAGUCAUUCCCUGGACUAUUUUAGGACAGCUUCUUCAUAAAAUGGAAGUGCAGUCUUCUCCAGAGCCCCACCUGUAUAACCAAGGGCAGGUUGGGCCAGAGGAAUGAAAUAAAUGAGCUUUUUAAUGGGCUUUAAUCACAAAUUGUCCUUCAGGGCUUGAUAGAGGUUUCUGCCACAUCAAAGAGAAAUCUCCUGUCCAUUUCAAGGGGAGAAGAAGCAAACUUGUGAACAGCACAUCAGAAUUAAACCUUGUAAAAGAUCACUGCACAUAGUAAAUGCACUGGUAGUGCUCAGGAGAAGGGAGAGAGCAACUGCUUGGCUGGUGAUUUAUCACACCUUUUGGACCCCCAAACUCUUUUGCAUUUUGACUUCAGAUGGGCUAUAGAAAAACAUGUCUAUAAUGUCUGUGUCCAACUAUCCACUCUUAAUGACCCAGUGGAACACCCAAAACAGGCAGAGCUUUGCCUGUUUCAACAUGAGAGUCCAUCUUCCAAAACAAGAGCUGCAGAGACUAUGUCUGGAUCAGGAGAUAGGGGCUCAUCUUUCCUUCUGCAGUCAUUUGGUGACUACAGCACAUGCCUGAGCGCUAGGAAAUGGUCAGUGAGCAAUGCCUAUCUCUUUUGCCUGUAAUAAUGUAAGCCUGCUUGUCCCUCAUAAGUACUUUGAGGACAUGAUAAUGGGAUAUUCAAACACAGGGAGCUCACUGUUGCUGCCAAUGGGACUUCCCCACUUUAUCAUGGAAGAUGGGAAAGAGUGACUACAGAUUGCACUUUCCUCCUUGCCGUCAUAUCAGGCUUCUGCUCUGCUUCCCCAGCUGGUUAAUACACUGCUUCUUAACUACAUCUCUUCAGAAAUGUCAGUCCAGAUGAUGUCAGAGCUGAAAGAUGACCUCUCAAGCCCUGGCCUGGGAGAGUAUUGGCUCCCUUCCUUAAAUCCACAUUGUACAGGGACUCUACGAGGAAGUCUGAACAGAUCUGUGGCCUUUAGCAGGGCAUGAGAAAGGGAGACUGCUCAGAUGGGAGAAGGACUUAUGGGCAGACAAUGAGGAUUUUUCAUGAUGUGACAUUUUAUUUGCUCUGAUAUGUUGACAUGAGUCCUGUGAGUCAUCAGGAGAGCUGACUUCUGGAUUCUCAGUUCUUAGCUCCUCUUUUGUCUACAGGGCUUGCUUCUUUCCGGGCCUUAGCACUAAUGAAAUUAAAAUCUUUUGCUUCUGAAAGAAUUAUGGGUCUGGCUCAUGCCAAAAUAUUAAUUCUGUGGGAGAAAGGGGCAAUGUAAGCAUCUGAUGGGUGUGUGAGAUGGAUGAGAAAAAACAGAGGAAAAUUUUGUCUUAGUGUCAGGCUCUGCAAUUUUUAUUUUUUGGAGUUAGCUUCAUUUAAGACUAACUGAGCAUCAUAGGCAGUCAAUGGCUUAACAGAUAUCUGUGCCAAAGAACACAUUAUCUGCAAGUGAAAUAUCGUAACGGGUCUAUGUGAUGGAAAGCACUAGAAGGACAAGUUAUAAAUAC
RNAcentral lists this long non-coding RNA (15853 nucleotides) under Gallus gallus (chicken). RNAcentral's name for it is "lncRNA (ENSGALG00010019117.1)". Lineage: Eukaryota; Metazoa; Chordata; Aves; Galliformes; Phasianidae. The record is from RNAcentral.